AUUGAACGCUGGCGGCAUGCUUUACACAUGCAAGUCGAACGGUAACAGGCCUUCGGGCGCUGACGAGUGGCGAACGGGUGAGUAACGCAUCGGAACGUGCCCAGUCGUGGGGGAUAACGCAGCGAAAGCUGUGCUAAUACCGCAUACGAUCUGCGGAUGAAAGCGGGGGACCUUCGGGCCUCGCGCGAUUGGAGCGGCCGAUGUCAGAUUAGGUAGUUGGUGGGGUAAAGGCCCACCAAGCCAACGAUCUGUAGCUGGUCUGAGAGGACGACCAGCCACACUGGGACUGAGACACGGCCCAGACUCCUACGGGAGGCAGCAGUGGGGAAUUUUGGACAAUGGGCGCAAGCCUGAUCCAGCAAUGCCGCGUGCAGGAAGAAGGCCUUCGGGUUGUAAACUGCUUUUGUACGGAACGAAAAAGUCCGGGUUAAUACCCUGGGCCCAUAACGGUACCGUAAGAAUAAGCACCGGCUAACUACGUG
RNAcentral lists this ribosomal RNA (482 nucleotides) under uncultured bacterium. RNAcentral describes it as "bacterial SSU rRNA". It matches the Rfam family "Bacterial small subunit ribosomal RNA", at positions 30 to 507 of the family's 1533-position model. The record is from RNAcentral.